This 253-nucleotide ribosomal RNA is filed under the name uncultured bacterium. RNAcentral describes it as "partial 16S ribosomal RNA". It matches the Rfam family "Bacterial small subunit ribosomal RNA", at positions 524 to 776 of the family's 1533-position model. The record is from RNAcentral.
GACGUAGGGGGCCAGCGUUGUUCGGAAUUACUGGGUGUAAAGGGUUCGUAGGCGGUGCGGCAAGUCGGGAGUGAAAUCUCUGGGCUUAACCCAGAGGCUGCUUCCGAAACUGCUGUGCUUGAGUGUGGGAGAGGCGCGUGGAAUUGCAGGUGUAGCGGUGAAAUGCGUAGAUAUCGAGAGGAACACCUGCGGCGAAGGCGGGUUGCUGGGCUGACACUGACGCUGAUGCGCGAAAGCCAGGGGAGCGAACGGG